RNAcentral lists this long non-coding RNA (3992 nucleotides) under Triticum aestivum (bread wheat). RNAcentral's name for it is "long non-coding RNA (TAES_LNC028445)". The record is from RNAcentral. Lineage: Eukaryota; Viridiplantae; Streptophyta; Magnoliopsida; Poales; Poaceae.
UGCCGCUCCGGUGGACCAUAUCCCCACUUCUGAUGGAUUCCGGUCGUCCCCGCGCUCCUCUGGCAGGCCGCCGCUCUUCCGUCUCCGGUAGCUCACUGCCGCUGCCACCGCAUCGACAGGUUUGAUUCACUGAAUACUCCAAUCAACUACAGAUUUGAGGAUCCUCCUACCAAUCAACUGCUCGUGCAAGGAUUCUGAGCGCUGGGCGGCGAGGCGAAGAGCUCAGAGGAAUAAUCCAGAGGGGACGCACCAUUGGCACGGUAAGCAGCAACUUCUUCCUGACUAGUACUACUAUCAAAUCCCAAAAAUGUUUGUCAAAUCUCAUGUGCCAUACACCCUGGUAAUCGUAACUAAUAGCAGCAUUACAUGGUCACGGCAGUAGCAUAGAUGAUCCGGUCGAGCGCGAUACGUGCUAGGCACGGUUGAUCUUUCGUUCCAUGAGCAGGAAAGUAGUUCAUGGCUGGCUUCUCGUGUACAGACUCAGCCAAGUUGCCAGCUGUCGCAACGCGCGAUGCCCUACGUCUCAAAGGCUAACUGAAUUGAAUCUUAUAUGACAAAUAUGAUACACUUUCUAAGCACAACAGUACCUGUUGACUCGCUGGUAACUUUUUUCUCAGACACCCGUUUGCGCCCAAACACGUGUUGUCUGUAUUAAGUGUAUUAGAAGGCAAAAAAAAAGCUAUCAAAAACAAAAGGGAAGCAAAGCAAAAUCGUAGGCUACAAACAGCUUGAGGCAGGGCUCGCGACUACACAGGAAAUUGGGAGAACUUAAAAGUGUUUCUAACUUUCUAAUUGUUCUGUGUUAGUUAUUCCUACUCCUACUAUGCAAUUCAAUUCAUUCUGUCGAUUUCUCUUCAUUUAUUGGAGCUAGGAGCAUUUUGGAACAUGCUAUUAAUUUCAACUAGAAUAAAGGGAAACAAGUCUGCAUUACAGCGGGAAACUGAACAAACUAUAGAAUAGAAUAAGUUCUUUGCUGUAGAACAAGAAGGUUUGUAAUAUUAAAAUAUUUUGCAGGUAAAAUUGACUCAAGAUAAGCAGCUUCGGAUUGUACUAAUUCGAAAAGAUACAGCAUACAGGUCUUUUACUUUCAGAACAUCAUCUGCUCAUAAUCGUACCGGCUGUCUUGCUGGGAUUGUCUCAUUUCACCUUGGACCUGAUACAUCUGAGGCUACAGGUGGAGCUGAAGAGUUCACAUUUCCAGCAAUACCGAAAUUUGGUUCAUUUGUUGCGACAAAGUUAUGAUCUAUGUUGCUCUCUGCAUCCAUGGUACCUUCCAAGACUUUGACUACCUCGGACAUUUUAGGCCUUCCUUUGCAGUCAAUCUGCAAACACCACAUUGCGAGCUUCAUCAUCUGAAUCGCAUCUCGCUCGUGUGCUUGCAUGUCGUUGCUGCUCUUGUCAAUCAAAUCUUCCAACUGAUUGUUCUUCACCUUUUCUUCCAAUAGGGUAAUAAGAUGGAUGUUCUCUUCAGACAAGGAAGUGUCGAGGUUCUUUCUUCCGCUCACGAUUUCCAUGACCACAACGCCAAAGCUAUAGACAUCGGCCUUCUCCGUGAUUUGUGAUGUCAACCAUUCAGGGGCUAGAUAACCAGGUGUGCCUCUCAUUCUUGUAACCACUUGACUCAUAUCCCUAUCAAUGAGCUUGCAUAGACCAAAAUCAGAGAGUUUAGCAUUGAAGUCGUCAUCUAAGAGGAUGUUUUGUGGUUUGACAUCCAAAUGAGCAAUUCUCUUCAUGCACUCCUCAUGAAGAUAAGAAAGACCCUUAGCUAUGUCAGCGAUAAUCUUGCAUCGCACCCUCCAUUCUAACGGAGGAGCAGUAUUUUCAUGUCGACCAUAGAUCCACCUGUCCAAGGAUCCUUUUGGCAUAGACUCAUAAACCAAGAGCCUAUGGGAUUUCUCUGCACAGAAGCCAAACAGCCUCACCAGAUUGAUAUGAUGAAUGCUACCGAUUGUUUGAACCUCCGCCAAGAAUUCUCUCUUUCCCUGACCAGCUCGAUCCAAACGUUUUACCGCAAUCCUUUCCUCGCAUAGCUGCCCUUCGAAAACAGACCCAAAUCCUCCUUCCCCGAGCUUGUCCUUGAAUUGCUCUGUUGCUGCUUCUAACUGUUGAAACGUAAACCUCAUUGGUGUUCCUUGUAGCUGAUCAAACUCUGCCUCCUCAUCUGUCAUCUCAUGGUGUCGUCGUGUUCUUCUUCGACGUAUGAUGAAAAAGAUGAAUGUGACGAUUAAAACUAUGGCACCUGCAAUUGCAACUGAAACAAAAGUGCCUAUUGAGGGUCCUUUGCGUAGUGGCCUAAGAUCAGCUGAGUUAGGAGGACUUGGAGGUGAAGAUAGUGGCCUAAGAUCAGCUGAGUUAGGAGGACUUGGAGGUGAAGACGUUAGAUUGACCGGUGGGCAGAAGAUGACCUGAUAGUCGGUAUCAAAUGGGCAGCUGAAUGAAGUAUCUGUGGAAGCAUCACUGGAGUAGCUUAUUGCCUCCGGGCACAUCCGCACAAAGAAGGCCGAGUAUUUGUUGGGUUCACAUUGGCUCUCAUAGCAGCAGUACAUACCAUUAUUCUGCUCCUGGAACACUGUACAUGCGCUGUUGCAGCCUCCCGGUGCCUUGAGCUCGCUCGGACACUGUGACGUGAUGUUGGCCCCACAGUGGGACCCCUUUCUGCACCCUGAUCCCCCUUGCCCCUUGACCGGCAUUGGCAAGAACUCCAUGGGUACGUUGAAGCCCUGAUCGAGGGAGAUGCCAAAGAAACUGUUGUUGUUAUACUGGUUUAGCGAGAAUUCAGCAGACGUGUAGGGUGACUGACCAUCUAUCUUGCAGGCGAGCAAGCCUUCGCAGUCGCCUGUCUGGCACGACCCCCUGCCUUUGCCGUCAAACGAGCAGCCUGUGCGCGCCCACACACUUCCUCCACGGGUGUCAGAAGGCACCUGGAGGGUCCAUGUCUUCCCUGAGUCCAGCCGCAUGCCGCCGCCCACCGGCAGAGCGGCCGGCCAUACGGUGUAGGGGCAUCGGUUGGUGAUGUUCAGUAUGGUUUGGGUGGUGACGAAUGGCAGGAGGAGGAGGCGGAGCAGGAGGAGGAGGGGAGGUGGGUGGUGGAGGCUCAGGGAGGAGGUACCCAUAACUGCCAACUGUGUCGUCUGGUAAUACGACCCCUCUUGGAUGAGAUGAUAAAGGAGGAAUGGAGAUUUAGAUCCGUGUAUACUUGUAUAAUAUCUGCAUGUUGGAAAUGUUCAACGGUCUACGGUCAGCAGCGUAUGGCCUAACUCACUGUUAGCUGUCCUCCGAUACAAACAGUUUGACAGGCCCCAACUUGAGGGAGAUUGCUGCUUGUGGUAGCUGUUCACUUUUCUUAGCUCCUUUCAACCUCAUGUACAUGUUGAACAUCCUUACCAAGUUACCAUACAUGCAAACUGUUGACAGUACAUAUUUUUGCUUACGACAGUGCAAACAUAUUGCCGACAUAUUUUCUUCUUCUUCUUUUUUGCGAAAGAAAACCUGUAUUACUCAAUGAUAUUUUUUUGCUUCGGGUGUUCAUUUCUUGUCUAAUCUGAUGUAUAUGCUCACGCUGCGACAGCCAGAUCACCUGUAACACUGGACCCUGGAGGGGCGCUGGGGCAGCAACGCGAAGGGUAUCUGUGGGGUCGAGAUCGCUAUGGAACAGGAUCAUUGGGGCCAGUGAGUUGAGCUGGUCAGCGGCAGCUGCGUCGAAGCAGCUUGAGGAUUGGAGGUCAACAAUGGCGGCAAUGAAAAGCAGUGGCCCUGCCUUUUCGUCAAAAAAAAAAAUGGCGGCAACUCUUGGGUGGUGGGCAGAAUGCCUCGCGCAUUAUUUUUGUGGUUGGGAUGUAGGCACUGUCAUAUUCAACCCAUCUAUCUCAAUUACAAGUUGUCAUGUAAUCCAAGCUUUUUGGAAGUGAAAGAUUUGGAGGAAUAGAGGAGCUCAUCAAGGCCACAAAAGAAAGCAUGCUGUAGAUCACCAUUCAGCAGCCCAUUUAGAGGAG